GAUGAACGCUGGCGGCGUGCCUAAUACAUGCAAGUCGAGCGAACGGACGAGAAGCUUGCUUCUCUGAUGUUAGCGGCGGACGGGUGCGUAACACGUGGAUAACCUACCUAUAAGACUGGGAUAACUUCGGGAAACCGUAGCUAAUACCGGAUAAUAUUUUGAACCGCAUGGUUCCCAAGUGAAAGACGCUCUUGCUGUCACUUAUAGCUGGAUCCGCGCUGCAUUAGCUAGUUGGUAAGGUAACGGCUUACCAAGGCAACGAUGCAUAGCCGACCUGAGAGGGUGAUCGGCCACACUGGAACUGAGACACGGUCCAGACUCCUACGGGAGGCAGCAGUAGGGAAUCUUCCGCAAUGGGCGAAAGCCUGACGGAGCAACGCCGCGUGAGUGAUGAAGGUCUUCGGAUCGUAAAACUCUGUUAUUAGGGAAGAACAUAUGUGUAAGUAACUGUGCACAUCUUGACGGUACCUAAUCAGAAAGCCACGGCUAACUACGUG
This 497-nucleotide ribosomal RNA is filed under the name uncultured bacterium. RNAcentral's name for it is "partial 16S ribosomal RNA". It matches the Rfam family "Bacterial small subunit ribosomal RNA", at positions 28 to 507 of the family's 1533-position model. The record is from RNAcentral.